Molecule: ribosomal RNA, 465 nt
Filed under: uncultured bacterium
Lineage: Bacteria
Description: partial 16S ribosomal RNA
Rfam family: Bacterial small subunit ribosomal RNA
Source: RNAcentral
GACGAACGCUGGCGGCGUGCUUAACACAUGCAAGUCGUACGGUAAGGCCCUUUCGGGGGUCCACGAGUGGCGAACGGGUGAGUAACACGUGAGUAACCUGCCCACAACUUUGGGAUAACGCUAGGAAACUGGUGCUAAUACUGGAUAUGUGCUCCUGCUGCAUGGUGGGGGUUGGAAAGCUCCGGCGGUUGUGGAUGGACUCGCUGCCUAUCAGCUUGUUGGUGGGGUAGUGGCCUACCAAGGCGGCUACGGGUAGCCGGCCUGAGAGGGUGACCGGCCACCUUGAGACUGAGAUACGGCCCAAGCUCCGACGGGAGGGAGAAGUGGGGAAUAUUGCACAAUGGGCGCAAGCCUGAUGCAGCAACGCCGCGGGCGGGAUGACGGCCUUGGGGUUGAAGACCGCAUUCAGCAGGGACGAUGCUUUUUGUGACGGUACCUGCAGAAGAAGCACCGGCUAACUACGUG